GUUACCAUAUUUGCGCACGCGCGGCGCGCGGUGACGUCACCGCAUCUUUAUAAAGGGCCGCCUUGGGGCGCGAAAAGUUCGUGAGGUGUAGUCGCGGCAACCAGGAGGUGGGCGUGUGGUAACGCGGCGCGCGGGAGGGUGGCUUGAAAGGGUCUUUAUGAACCCUAGGGAAAGGCCGUCUGGUAGGAACUCCAUUUCAAGACCUUUUAAAGUGAGACCUGCAUAUGUUGAAAGAGUUUCAGAGAGUGAAGCUGGGUUCUUAGAAGCUGGAAUGUCCCAGCAGAAUGUAGAAAUGCGAAAAAUUCGGCACAGUAGUCUAAAGUGCACCCACCACUAGAAUUUGAACAUCCUAAGAACAGGUAUUUUUGUCUCUGCUUUGCUGAUGUAUCCUCAGCAACCGGAACUGCCUGACAUCUGAUCCUUUCUGUGAGACACCAGGCUGUUGAGGAAGAAUCUAUGGCAACAUUGUAUCUAUUAAUAUACAGCUUCUGUAUUUAUCAGGCCCAGUUCUGGUGAUGAUUUCACUUUUGACAGAAGCUGUCCCUCAAAAGCAAACAUGCAAUAGAAGAAACAGAUCUCAAUGCCAUCCAUCUGCAGUUGUGACAAGCAAAAAAGUCUCCAGACAUGGCCAAAUGUCCCCUGGGGGGCAAAAUCACCCCCAAUUGAGAACUACUGCUCUAAACUCUUGAAAUUAGGUUUGUAGGUACCAAAAGCAGAGCCUCAGAAGAGGGUGAACUGAUGACAGCAACUUCUACUGAGAAGAAAACACCAAAGCUGAGAUAACGCUGACCUCAAAUGCAACACUGUAGGCAAUAAAGAACAAUGGCAUUCGAACAUAAAGCUGUUUCCAAAAUCUACAGUUAUGUAUCGGCCGUACUUGCAUCUUCAGAACUGUUAGAGGGAAAUCACCAACACUUGAUGCCUCUAACCUACUCAUACACGCUAAAUUUCCUUUCUCUUAAUCUUAAGGAAUAACAGAUAAAUAAAAAGAGAAACAGCUUUCUUGCCCAUAGUUUUUUAUUUGAUAUUAGAAAGGAAAAAUAAGCAGCCAAAGCUGUCCCUGAACAUACACCACAGGGAGGAGCUGCACAGAGGGCCCAGCCUUAGUACACAGCUCCUGGUAAGGCCAUUAGCAUGUAACUCAGUAAAACUGAGUAUCUGUGAUUCUUAUCAGCCACCAGUGAUGAGAUGCUUGCUGUGUAUCAGGAAGCCAGAGGCAGCGGU
Molecule: long non-coding RNA, 1224 nt
Filed under: Homo sapiens (human)
Lineage: Eukaryota; Metazoa; Chordata; Mammalia; Primates; Hominidae
Description: HSALNT0312073
Source: RNAcentral